GGAAGUCGGAGACCGGGAGUUUUUAUAAAGAUCUGGUGGGCGGCUACUAUGAUGCUGGAGAUGCAAUUAAGUUCAACUUCCCUAUGUCCUUUGCCAUGACCAUGUUGAGUUGGAGUGUGAUCGAAUACAGUGCAAAGUAUGAGGCUGCUGGGGAGCUCAACCAUGUCAAAGAGAUAAUCAAGUGGGGAACUGAUUACUUUCUCAAAACUUUCAAUUCUUCUGCUGAUACCAUAGACAGGAUGGUUGCACAGGUAAAUUUAUACCUGUGGUUUAGCCAAUUUAGUUAGCUACAUGAAGAUAGCUUGUUGUUUUUUGUUUCCUUUUAGUCUUCCAGGAUAUAUCCAUUUUUCAACAUUGUAAGUGUCUCAGUUUUGCUUUAGUCUAAUUAAUUUUUAACUUUGCUGCAACCAAAUGUCCCUUCUGUUUGUUGCUUGGAUUUUCCAAUUUUAAAAUAUUUAAGGACCAGACUGCAGUCAGUCUUGGCUAUUAUGAUACAUCAUGCUCCCUCCCUGUUGUGUAAUUUGUUGUCAAACUAUUGCUAAUGUUUUAGCUUUGGAUCUUCUGAAAAUGCUCAGUCAGUUAGAUUAUGCAAUUGUAUUCUGAUGUACACAGUUCCUCCUCUUUUUGACAGGUUGGAAUAGGAGAUACUUCCGGGGGGAGUACAACUCCCAAUGACCAUUAUUGUUGGAUGCGCCCUGAGGACAUUGAUUAUAAACGUCCUGUAACAGAAUGUGGUGGCUGCUCAGAUCUUGCUGCAGAGAUGGCUGCAGCGUUAGCUGCUGCAUCCAUUGUUUUCAAGGACAACAAGGCCUACUCACAGAAACUUGUCCAUGGUGCUAGAACUCUCUUUAAGUUUUCUAGGGAGCAGCGAGGCAGGUAUAGCAAUGGUGGUACAGAUGCUGCAAUUUUCUAUAAUUCAUCUAGUUACUGGGAUGAGUUUGUCUGGGGCGGAGCCUGGCUGUACUACGCCACUGGGAACAACUCCUAUCUUCAGCUUGCUACUACACCUGGUCUGGCCAAGCAUGCCGGUGCUUUCUGGGGAGGCCCAGAUUAUGGUAUACUUAGCUGGGACAACAAGCUUGCUGGUGCUCAAGUAAGUUAGUAGAGCUAGUUUUUAUUUUUUUAAGGACUUGGUCAGUUGUGCGAUUUAGUUGUUGUUUCCUGGCAAAUUAACUCAGUGUCAGUGUUUAUGUUGUACAAUUUUUCAGUUUAGUGGUUCAACCAUGUAAGGUCCUCUUGGCAUUCUAAAUCCUGGAUUGCCAUCAUUAGUCAACCCAAAAUUUUACCUAGUUCUUAACAUUGGCAUCAACUUAUUUGUUUAUUGCUUGUAUGAUAUCAUACUAAAGGUUGGGCAAAGUUGAGCCUAUACGAACAAACUGUCAGCAAGUUCUAGGACAUGGCUCUACCUUAAAUUGUCCAUUUUGGUAGUACAUAGCAGAUCCAGGACUUCAUUAUACUACUGGGCAUCCAUUUUAUGUGUUGGACCAUUUAUGAAAGGGAUUGUCUCUGGGUAAUUCACCUCUCAAAAUGAUGGCAUAACACAACUGUCAUGGCUGCCAAACUGGUCUUGUUUUCACUUAUAAUAUUUGAAGUGGAAAUCAUAGUUUUAAAUUGAGUAGCAAGUUUUGGCAGUUGAUUUGUUACUCUUUAUCUUUUAAUAGUUUCCAUUUAGAUAAAUUUGGCAAGAACUGAAGGUAUUAUUUAGUUUGGCAUUCCGUUUUUAUUUUGGAAGUCUUAACAUUUGCCUAAUGUUAAUGGUAUCAAAUUUCUCAGCUUGUUUCAAUGUGUGCUUCUUGAUAUUUGUCUCUGAAGUUGAUAUGUGGUUUGUUUCCAACAGUUCUCCUUUGAUGAUUGUAUUAGUCCAUGCAGCUUUGGGGCCAAACAUGAAUGCUUACCAAAUUGUUAGGCUUUCUCUAACACCUGUGAGCAGUGCUUACAAUGAUACCAACUUUAGUGAACUUUCCCCCUUUUUGAUUGGAUCUCCAUUUUCCGUUUUUAGUAUGUCAAAAUUUCGCUGAAGUUUUUCAUGUUUUUUUCCUUAUAUUUUCUUCUGCCUGCUGUCUUAUUUAUUUAUUUUCUUCUUAUGAUAGUCUCUUUCAUAUCUGCUGAUAUCUCAGCUUUAGGAUGGUCCAGUUGAUUUCUUUAUGAAAAGGUUUACAUCCAUAAAUGAAGUAGCUCCGAGACAUUCACAUUUGCAUGUUGAUCAAAUAAAAUUGGAAUUAUUGUUUGCAAGAGUCAAAAACUCAUGGCUGGUUCAUUGCUGAUAUGCUUUAUGUUUUUUUCUUAAUUAGGUGCUCCUAAGCCGUUUGAGAUUGUUCUUGAGCCCUGGGUAUCCAUAUGAAGAAAUUCUGAGGACAUUUCACAAUCAAACCAGCAUAAUUAUGUGCUCAUACCUACCGAUUUUCACAAGCUUUAACAGAACAAAAGGUACCCCAGCUAAUAUUUCGUCAACCUUACAGUUUGGUGGGGAUGGGUUGCCCAAGUUUAACACAAAAACUUAAUGUAAUGUUUUGGGUACCCCUUGCAGGAGGCUUGAUCCAAUUAAACCAUGGAAGGCCACAACCACUUCAAUACAUUGUCAAUGCUGCCUUCCUGGCUACCCUGUACAGUGAUUAUCUUGAAGCUGCUGACACCCCUGGAUGGUAUUGUGGACCUAAUUUCUAUUCAACUGAAGUCCUGCGUGAAUUUGCCAAGACCCAGGUAUGCGAUAUCUGAUUCCUCAAUUAAAGUUGUGAGGGAACAUGAGUCUGCUCAUGUAGUAAUAAAUAUUGUUGGAACCAACAAGGUCACUUAAAUUUUUCAUAUCUCUGACCUUCUGGCAGAUUGAUUACAUCCUCGGCAAAAAUCCUCGAAAGAUGAGCUAUAUUGCAGGUUUUGGCAAUCAUUAUCCAAGACAUGUCCACCAUAGAGGUGCAUCUAUCCCUAAGAACAAAAUCAAAUAUAAUUGUAAAGGAGGAUGGAAAUGGAGAGACUCUUCGAAGCCAAAUCCAAAUACACUCGUAGGGGCCAUGGUUGCUGGGCCAGACAAGCAUGAUGGUUUCCAUGAUGUCCGUACUAAUUACAACUACACAGAGCCUACGCUUGCAGGAAAUGCAGGUUUAGUAGCUGCACUUGUGGCUCUGUCAGGUGACAAGACAACUGGAAUUGACAAGAACACUAUAUUCUCUGCUGUUCCACCAAUGUUUCCCACUCCACCACCCCCUCCCGCACCUUGGAAACCAU
This 3222-nucleotide long non-coding RNA is filed under the name Vitis vinifera (wine grape). RNAcentral's name for it is "long non-coding RNA (VVIN_LNC003976)". The record is from RNAcentral. Lineage: Eukaryota; Viridiplantae; Streptophyta; Magnoliopsida; Vitales; Vitaceae.